UGGGGCGGGGCAGGCAUAUCUCAGGGCUAAGCACCAGCCCUGGCCCCAGAGGAUAUUGAGGGGAUGAGACAUGGCCCCAGCCCUGCCCAGCGGCGAUGUCACACCUGGGACCCAGCCUGAGCCCAGCUGUCAGGGGUGGUGGGCCAAGGGGACCGCCUUCCCCAUCAAACAUUCCACUGGGGAAUUGGCCCCCCAGCUCCUUCCUCCUCCCCCACACCUGGACAGAAUCCGUCCUCUUCCAGCCCCACCCCACCUGGCCCUGGCCCCAUCACCUCUGGGACUGGCCUCCCACUGCCCUACUCCAUGGCCACUCGUUCACCCGAUGCACAGUUCCUCGUUAGGACCGCACAGAUGAGGACCAAAGCUGCGGCCCUGCCCCGGGAGAGAUAGACAGCAAACAAGGAAAUAGUAUCCCUGUUUGGGGGGAAACCGAGUCCCAGAGAAGCGAUGUUCCUUGCCCAGACCACCAGUGGAAGCAAGACUUGAACCUGGUCUGACAGGCUCCAUGAUCCUAAGAUUUCAGAAACAAGAUUUCAUGACUUGAAGUGUAUCAGGGAGAGAAAGAGAGAGAGAGAGCACAAGGGGAGGAGCAGAAGGAGAGGGAGGGAGAAGCAGACUCCUUGCUGAGCACGGAACCCAACGUGGGACUUGAUCCCAGGACCCCGAGAUCAUGACUCGAGCUCAGAUCAAGAGUCCGAUACUCAACCGACGGAGCCACCCAGUGUCCCUGAAACUAUUCCGUUUAAAGUAAUUCCCCAUUCCCUGGCAAUCGCCGUUCUUCCUGUCUCUAUGAACUUGACUCCUCUAGGUACCUCGUGUAAGUGGAGUCAUACAGUAUUUGUCCUUUUGUGACUGGCUCAUUUCGCUUUGUAUACGUCUUCAAGGUUCACCCAUAGGGCAGCAUGCGUCAGCAUUUCCGUUCUUAUGAAGGCUGAAUAAUAUUCCGAUGUAUGCACAGACCGUUCAUCCAGCAGUGGACCCUUGGGCUGCUUCCACCUUUUGGCUAUUGUGAAUAAAAAUACUAUGAACA
Long non-coding RNA from Mirounga angustirostris (Northern elephant seal), 1030 nucleotides. RefSeq lists it as uncharacterized. The record is from RefSeq and is a predicted model, not a curated record. Lineage: Eukaryota; Metazoa; Chordata; Mammalia; Carnivora; Phocidae. The transcript is spliced from 3 exons.